CGACGCUCUCUAAACUGUCGCGACUGACCCGGUGAGACAAGCAGCUUGAAGCUCCUGCGGCCCUCCCGGGCCACGUCCACGGCACGGUGAGGCGCAAAGGCGUCUUGCAGCCCCACCCCUACCCCCACCCCCACUCGACGCUCUCUAAACUGCCGCGACCGACCCGGUGAGACAAGCAGCUGGAAACUCCUGCGGCCGUCCCCACCGCACGCCACACAUUCCUCAGAGGGAUGGAGAGGAUUUGGAUCCUUCUCACAGAGCAUAAAUAGUAUUAUGAAGAGCCAUUUAAGAAAUGGACAAUGGAAAUGUGGAAUCUGAGUGUGGAGAAGAAAGGCCUGAAGGCAGCAGGAUAAGAUUCUGUAUCUUUGAAUAGAAGACAACCUUUAUGUGCCUCAUGCCUGAUACCCGAAUGAAGACAUUAGAGGCCUCUCUUUGGAUUUGUUUUAUAAUAACAAAAUUUAUUUAGGGGAGGUUUCCUCUUACUCUGUGCUUGUUUUGAGCAACACAUUCACUAACAUUCUGGAAGAACAAAGGCUGAGCACAUUAUAAUCACAAACCUCAGACAAUGGGGGCAUUGGG
This 579-nucleotide long non-coding RNA is filed under the name Heterocephalus glaber (naked mole-rat). Its description in RNAcentral is "lncRNA (ENSHGLG00100051940.1)". The record is from RNAcentral. Lineage: Eukaryota; Metazoa; Chordata; Mammalia; Rodentia; Bathyergidae.